Long non-coding RNA from Erpetoichthys calabaricus (reedfish), 297 nucleotides. RefSeq lists it as uncharacterized. The record is from RefSeq and is a predicted model, not a curated record. The transcript is spliced from 2 exons. Lineage: Eukaryota; Metazoa; Chordata; Cladistia; Polypteriformes; Polypteridae.
AAGACAAUCAAUCAGAUCCAGUUUUUCAGAACAUUAAAGGCAUUGACAAAGCAGACCCAACAACAGAUUUUAAUGCUAGUUUUUUUUUUAAGGCUCACUCACAUUUACUUGUGGUUCUGGUGAUCAUGUGGCUCCAGCAUCUUCCCCCUCUCAAAACAAUGGCUGCAGAGGCCUGGGUCCUUGGUAUGUGUUAUCUCUGGAUUUGCUGUCUUAUCAGUUCCUUGCUCUUGAAUAAAUAAUUCUUCUCUGGUGCAUUCCUUUAUUCCAAUUUGGAUUUAGUACCAUCCAAAUGACAAA